AGUGAACGCUGGCGGCGUGCUUAACACAUGCAAGUCGAACGAGAACGGGAUAUAGCUUGCUAUAUUUGUCAGCUAAGUGGCGCACGGGUGAGUAAUGUAUAGAUAACCUGCCCUCUAGAAAGGAAUAACAGUUGGAAACGACUGCUAAUGCCCUAUGUGCCUUUAAUACAUAAGUAUGCAAGGGAAACGCUUUAGUGCUAGAGGAUGGGUCUGUAUGGUAUCAGCUUGUUGGUGAGGUAAUGGCUCACCAAGGCUAUGACGCCUAACUGGUUUGGGAGGAUGAUCAGUCACACUGGAACUGAGACACGGUCCAGACUCCUACGGGAGGCAGCAGUGGGGAAUGUUGCACAAUGGACGAAAGUCUGAUGCAGCAACGCCGCGUGGAGGAUGACACAUUUCGGUGCGUAAACUCCUUUUAUAUAGGAAGAUAAUGACGGUACUAUAUGAAUAAGCACCGGCUAACUCCAUGCCAGCCGCCGCCGUAA
This 485-nucleotide ribosomal RNA is filed under the name uncultured bacterium. RNAcentral describes it as "partial 16S ribosomal RNA". It matches the Rfam family "Bacterial small subunit ribosomal RNA", at positions 29 to 523 of the family's 1533-position model. The record is from RNAcentral.